This 514-nucleotide ribosomal RNA is filed under the name Pectobacterium carotovorum. RNAcentral describes it as "bacterial SSU rRNA". It matches the Rfam family "Bacterial small subunit ribosomal RNA", at positions 626 to 1140 of the family's 1533-position model. The record is from RNAcentral. Lineage: Bacteria; Pseudomonadati; Pseudomonadota; Gammaproteobacteria; Enterobacterales; Pectobacteriaceae.
UUUGAAACUGGCAGGCUAGAGUCUUGUAGAGGGGGGUAGAAUUCCAGGUGUAGCGGUGAAAUGCGUAGAGAUCUGGAGGAAUACCGGUGGCGAAGGCGGCCCCCUGGACAAAGACUGACGCUCAGGUGCGAAAGCGUGGGGAGCAAACAGGAUUAGAUACCCUGGUAGUCCACGCUGUAAACGAUGUCGAUUUGGAGGUUGUGCCCUUGAGGCGUGGCUUCCGGAGCUAACGCGUUAAAUCGACCGCCUGGGGAGUACGGCCGCAAGGUUAAAACUCAAAUGAAUUGACGGGGGCCCGCACAAGCGGUGGAGCAUGUGGUUUAAUUCGAUGCAACGCGAAGAACCUUACCUACUCUUGACAUCCAGAGAACUUAGCAGAGAUGCUUUGGUGCCUUCGGGAACUCUGAGACAGGUGCUGCAUGGCUGUCGUCAGCUCGUGUUGUGAAAUGUUGGGUUAAGUCCCGCAACGAGCGCAACCCUUAUCCUUUGUUGCCAGCGAUUCGGUCGGGAACUC